RNAcentral lists this ribosomal RNA (423 nucleotides) under Verrucomicrobiota bacterium. RNAcentral describes it as "Verrucomicrobia bacterium partial 16S ribosomal RNA". It matches the Rfam family "Bacterial small subunit ribosomal RNA", at positions 355 to 776 of the family's 1533-position model. Lineage: Bacteria; Pseudomonadati; Verrucomicrobiota. The record is from RNAcentral.
UAGGGAAUUUUCGGCAAUGGGGGCAACCCUGACCGAGCAACGCCGCGUGAGUGAAGACGGCCUGCGGGUAGUAAAGCUCUGUUGUAAGGGAAGAACGGUAGAUAGAGAAUAUCUAAGUGACGGUACCUUACCAGAAAGCCACGGCUAACUACGUGCCAGCAGCCGCGGUAAUACGUAGGUGGCGAGCGUGUUCCGGAAUUAUUGGGCGUAAAGGGUGCGUAGGCGGCCUGUUAAGUAAGUGGUUAAAUUGUUGGGCGCAACCCAAUCGAGCCACUUAAACUGGCAGGCUGGAGUAGUAGGGAGGAGAGUGGAAUUCCAUGGGUAGCAGUAAAAUGCGUAGAUAUUAGGAGGAACACCAGUGGCGGAGGCGGCGAUCUGGACAGUAACUGACGCUGAGGAGCGAAAGCAUGGGUAGCAAACAGG